RNAcentral lists this transfer RNA (71 nucleotides) under Locustella pryeri pryeri. Its description in RNAcentral is "tRNA-Phe". The record is from RNAcentral. Lineage: Eukaryota; Metazoa; Chordata; Aves; Passeriformes; Locustellidae.
GUCCUCGUAGCUUAUAUCAAAGCAUGACACUGAAGAUGUCAAGAUGGGCGUCUCAUACACCCCCAAGGACA